This 878-nucleotide ribosomal RNA is filed under the name Staphylococcus aureus. RNAcentral describes it as "bacterial SSU rRNA". It matches the Rfam family "Bacterial small subunit ribosomal RNA", at positions 600 to 1467 of the family's 1533-position model. Lineage: Bacteria; Bacillati; Bacillota; Bacilli; Caryophanales; Staphylococcaceae. The record is from RNAcentral.
AACCCCUGCUGCUACUGGUGCACGAGUCAUUGGAAACUUGAAAACUUGAGUGCAGAAGAGAAAAGUGGAAUUCCAUGUGUAGCUGUGAAAUGUGCAGAGAUAUGGAGGAACACCAGUGGCGAAGGCGACUUUCUGCUCCGUAACUGACGCUGAUGUGCGAAAGCGUGGGGAUCAAACAGGACUAGAUACCCUGGUAGUCCUCCAUAUAUAUGAUGAGUGCUAAGUGUUACAGGGGUUUCCGCCCCUUAGUGCUGCAGCUAAAGUAUUAAGCACUUUCGCCUGGGGAGUACGGCCGCAAGGUGGAAAUUCAAAGGAAACGUCGGGGACCCGCACAAGCGGUGGAGCAUGUAGUAUAUUUGGAAGCAGCGCGCAGCACCUUGUCAAAUCUUGACAUCCUUUGACAACUCUAGAGAUAGAGCCUUCUUCUUCGGGGGACAAAGUGACAGGUGGUGCAUGGUUGUUGUCAUCUCUUAUUAUGAGAAGUUGGGGUAAGAAGUCCAUCAACGGCCACCCCCCAUUAUUUUUGUCGCCAUCAAUAAGUUGGGCUAUAUUAGUUGCCCGGGGGUGACAAACCGGAGGAAGGGGGGGAUGAGGUCAAAUGUUCAUGCCCCUUAUGAUUCGGGCUACACACGUGCUACAAUGGGCAAGGCAUUGGAAAGCGACACCGCGAGGUCAAGCAAAUCCCAUAAACUUGUUCUCAGUUCGGAUUGUAGUCUGCAACUCGACUCCAUGAAGCUGGAAUCGCUAGUAAUCGUAGAUCAGCAUGCUACGGUGAAUACGUUCCCGGGUCUUGUACACACCGCCCGUCACACCACGAGAGUUUGUAACACCCGAAGCCGGUGGAGUAACCUUGUAGGAACUAGCCGUCGAAGGUGGGA